AACACAUUAUAUCUACCCAACUCUAAGUGAUUGGAGGUCACUAUUCCGAUUUGUUAACUUACAGGUUUCCAUUGCUUUUGUCACUCAAACCUGGGUGGCAUGGUAAGGGGCAUGAAUGAUAAACACAGCAGCGUUAUCUGUGUCGGAGGCCUAAAAUAGAGUGUGAGCCAGGCUUCCAGGCCUUCAGCUCUCCAUAUAUGUCUCCUGCUCCCAGGCUAGUGUCUCUGGCUGCUUCCACUGCCUUUCUGACAUUUCCACCUGCUGCCUGAGCUGCUUUAUAUAGCCCCUCACCCCCCCCUGCUGCUCUCAUUUGGCCCAUAGUCUUUUUUAUGUUUACAUACCACAUCUGACAAGGCCUGGGCCUCAUACUGUAUUUAACAAAUUGAGCAGACUCCAGCAGAAGCUGGAGAGAAGAGAGAUUGACGAGUGAAGAAGAAGAAGGAAAAGAAGAAGAGAUUGAGAUUUCUCUGGCUCUCACUGUCUAAUAUGCCUCACCCUGAGAGGCACAUGUGUCUGCAUGAAGAAUGUCUCUGAACGAAAUGCUGCUUAACCAACUGAGGGAGAUCACUGGCGUUCAGGACAUGCAGGUUCUUCAGAGCGCCCUUAAUGCAAGCCAGUGGGAUGUUAGCCAUGCUGUUGGUCUUCUCACAACACAAACAUCAGAGGAGGAGCAGGCGCCUGAAGAAUCUUCUACUGUCGACCAGAACACAGAAGCCUCCAACGUACACAACAGUAAGAGCUCACAUGAAAAAUUGUAACUUUUUUUAUAUAUAUCUUUAAAUAUAAAUACUUUUUGUUAUUUGUUUAGUAUGAUUCAAAUGGUUUUGAGAAAUGUGAAGAAAAUGGC
RNAcentral lists this long non-coding RNA (847 nucleotides) under Astyanax mexicanus (Mexican tetra). RNAcentral describes it as "lncRNA (ENSAMXG00005018086.1)". The record is from RNAcentral. Lineage: Eukaryota; Metazoa; Chordata; Actinopteri; Characiformes; Acestrorhamphidae.